UGGGGAAUAUUGCACAAUGGGCGAAAGCCUGAUGCAGCGACGCCGCGUGAGGGAUGACGGCCUUCGGGUUGUAAACCUCUUUCAGUAGGGACGAAGCGCAAGUGACGGUACCUGCAGAAGAAGCACCGGCUAACUACGUGCCAGCAGCCGCGGUAAUACGUAGGGUGCGAGCGUUGUCCGGAAUUACUGGGCGUAAAGAGCUCGUAGGCGGUUUGCCACGUCGUCUGUGAAAUCCUAGGGCUUAACCCUGGACGUGCAGGCGAUACGGGCUGACUUGAGUACUACAGGGGAGACUGGAAUUUCUGGUGUAGCGGUGGAAUGCACAGAUAUCAGGAAGAACACCGAUGGCGAAGGCAGGUCUCUGGGUAGUAACUGACGCUGAGGAGCGAAAGCAUGGGUAGCGAACAGG
Molecule: ribosomal RNA, 409 nt
Filed under: bacterium
Lineage: Bacteria
Description: partial 16S ribosomal RNA
Rfam family: Bacterial small subunit ribosomal RNA
Source: RNAcentral